Saccostrea echinata is the source of this 836-nucleotide long non-coding RNA. RefSeq lists it as uncharacterized. The transcript is spliced from 5 exons. The record is from RefSeq and is a predicted model, not a curated record. Lineage: Eukaryota; Metazoa; Mollusca; Bivalvia; Ostreida; Ostreidae.
GAAUGCUCCAGAUGACAGCUGACCGCUGUUUAUAUCGUAUUUCGUUGCUAAAGAAAUGACGUACGAUCCGCUCCCCUUUCCCGCAAUUAGAUCUGCGCCGGAAGUUUAUUGUGCUAAGCGAUCUCGAUGCAGUAAAAACAAUGCAAGAUCCGCGGGAAUUGGAGUUAUGUCAGUUGGAAGAUCAUAUGACUGUUUAAAAUGUCGGAAUAACAUAAAUAGUAGAUUACUUACAAGAGGCUGGGAUUGACCAUUCUUUUCAACGGUAAACACCAAACCAGAAAGUCCAUAGAAUUUCCCUUCCACAUAUAAUUGUCUCAGCACUGUGAAGUCCAGUGGCAGGAUAUGAAGGAAAGCUUUAGGCGACCGCAAAUAGUCCAGGACAAAAUCAAAAUAACGGGGAUUCCUGUCAAUGAAAUAGGUGUUGUUGGAUGGUUGGAAAGGGUCAGGUUUCCCAAGUACUAGAUCAAUAGGGAGUGCAACUUGUCGACCAAAGACCAUCUCAUUUGGGCUCACCCCUGUGGAUUCAUGUACCGAGGAUCUACACGCCAACAUGAGUAAAGGAUGUUGAGAAGUAGAUGUCAAAGCAGUGUUGUGAUUCCCCAAUCGGGUGACAACCUGGCAUGAUUCAGAUUAAUGGGUCACUGAUGCCUGUUUGGGAGAAAAUAAAACAUGGUCAUCUAUGGAUAAUCUGGGUGAUCCCAUACAAGAUCUGCGAUUAAAAACAAUUUCUCCAGAUUCCUCAAAGUUGCUGUUAUUUUGGGACAUUUUUCUUUGAAAUAAUUCUUUUACAAAAAAAAUUUUUAAAUUGGGUCAAAAAAAAUUUAAUAAAUAUUAAA